RNAcentral lists this long non-coding RNA (492 nucleotides) under Zonotrichia albicollis (white-throated sparrow). Its description in RNAcentral is "lncRNA (ENSZALG00000006357.1)". The record is from RNAcentral. Lineage: Eukaryota; Metazoa; Chordata; Aves; Passeriformes; Passerellidae.
AUUCACUGAAAAUACUUUUACUCACACAAUAUUACCUAUUCCUCUUUAAUUUGUGUUUCUAGUGGAAACAUGUUGAAUUUCAGGGGUGAUGAAGAGAGGCAGCAGAAAGCAUAGGUAAAUUCCUAACCAAGUUUUAUCUGUCCUGGAUGAAUUAGCAGCUCUUGCUAAGCACUGCUCUGGCUCUGGCACCAGGGUGAGCCACCCACUUCUCCUCUGUCUCAGGUGGCAGCCCAGAAAAGCAGGUUAAUAACACCAAUCUCACAGAGAAGUCGUGAGCUUGCAUUUCUCAGCCAGAUUGGAGACAGCCAGAAAACAGCUGAGGCACCUCCAGAAAGAGGGUGAAAGGUGGGAUCCAGAAAAUCUGCUGGCACCAAUAGCAACUCUUGCCACACAGAAAUGCUCCCAGGGAAAUUAAUUUAAUUUAACAGGGCUAUCGGAGAACAUCUGUUCUUCCUCGUGGAUUUGCAGAGGUGGGUUCCUCCUCUUCUUCCU